AUGUCUCUUUUUAACAGAAAAACGGAGCGGAAACGGCAAAGGUCUCCGCCAGGGCCAUCGUCUCCCAACGCUUGCUCUAAGCGCACGUGUCUUAAUACUUUUGGAUAUGGGUCACUACUUAAGUCCUGUGAUAAUCAAUGCUGUGAGUUUAUGCUAUGGCAGUCUCUUAGGAGUCCAUCCUCCUCCAAAAAUUCUGGUGAACUCAGGUUGAGAAAUGGGUGCUCAGGAUCAGAUCUAGAGGGCAAAAGCUGUAAAGAAAUCAUCAGACUCCUCAUGGAUAAAAAUAAAAUUCUAAAGACACCAGAGGGUAAGGUUUUACAUCUCUUAAAGAAUCUCAACCAAAAUUCACUGGGUGUGGAGAAGGAUUCUACAUCUAACUCAAAUGGAAGGUAUGAUUUUUAUUUCACCCCAAGAAGAAAUAUUCAGAUCAACGAUCAUCCUGUUUGUCUCAAAUCUUUCAUCACUAGCUCGCAAGACACUUUGCUAACUGCUUUGACAGCGGACUCGAGCAAUGACGCUUCAGUGGAAAGCGAUAGCCUUUCUGAGUCUCUCCCUGGUUCUAAUUCACCGGAAGAUGAGGCCACAGAAGUGGACGUAAAUUUUUGCAGAAAUAAGGCAACAUUAUUUAUGACAAUAAAGAAAACAGGCCACCCAACUGCAGGUAAAGGUGUCAUCAAAACCAGGGUUCAGUCCAACUACGAAGAAGUGACAGAUUCUGAUACUUCCAUAAGCUCAAACAAUUCUGAGCUGCCUGUGGCCAGAAGAUGUAUUGCAGUUUCAAAAUUUUACUUAGGAUGUGUAUCUCGGGAAUCAGCUCUAUUAAAUUUAAGAAGUUCUGUUCGAUCAAAAGAGGACACAGAAACUUCUGCACCUAGUGCUGCCUCCUUAGAAUCUUUGCCAGGAUCUUUCUCCAAGCAGGAAUCAGCUCUAUUAAAUUUAAGAAGUUCUGUUCGAUCAAAAGAGGACACAGAAACUUCUGCACCUAGUGCUGCCUCCUUAGAAUCUUUGCCAGGAUCUUUCUCCAAGCGGGAAUCAGCUCUAUUAAAUUUAAGAAGUUCUGUUCGAUCAAAAGAGGACACAGAAACUUCUGCACCCAGUGCUACCUCUUUAGAAUCUUUGCCAGGAUCUCUCUCCAAGCAAUAUGAAAUCCCAUUUUUAACCGUCAAACAAGGAAGAUCAGAAACCCACCCAAGCAGUCUCGGAACAGUUACCAAAUUAUUUGCCUGUGAUUUUUAUAGCUUGAAAAAGACCCCCAGAAAGAACUACUUUGACUUUCAUGGUAAAAUAGUUCACAAAGUGGAUAUAUUUGGAACUAUUACAAAGAUUCUACCAUUGCAAGAAAGUAGAAUUGUCUACCACAUCGAUGACGGAACUGCUUCCAUAUCCUGUAUGAUUGAUCGUACUGAGAAUCUGGCAAAGAAAAGAGAAUGCACAGCCAAGUUGGAUCUCAGCAACGCUCCAGAGCCACUUCCGAAACAGCAAUCCUGCCAUGCGAAUAAAUCAAAGUCUAGGCUACUAAGUGCUGUUACUGGUAUGAGAUCAGUUCUUGAAGGAAAUUUGAAAUCAGAAGUGGACAUAAAUAAUUUGAAACUUGGUGAUACUGUCCAUGGAGUUGGGGUACUUUAUGAUCAUGGAGCAGAAAAAAACAUGUACCUGAAUAAAAUUUGGCAAGUGACUACUGAACAUGAGAUAGAGGAUAGGUUGCAUCAGAUUAUUUUCCUCUACGAAGAAGUCUAUCCCAAGCUUAUCAAGGAUUUCUAA
This 1761-nucleotide long non-coding RNA is filed under the name Bemisia tabaci. RNAcentral describes it as "lncRNA ENSASIAIIG011038". Lineage: Eukaryota; Metazoa; Arthropoda; Insecta; Hemiptera; Aleyrodidae. The record is from RNAcentral.